Molecule: long non-coding RNA, 486 nt
Organism: Cebus imitator (Panamanian white-faced capuchin)
Lineage: Eukaryota; Metazoa; Chordata; Mammalia; Primates; Cebidae
Exons: 3
Source: RefSeq, a predicted model, not a curated record
GUAGCAGGUACCAACAUUUCCUGGCCAGGUACCAUCUGUUGCUGCUGGAACCAGCUUUGCCUGCAGCCCCUGGAGAAGCAGAAGCUCCCAGGAAUUUGUGUACUGCCCAGAGGGCAGAAUGACCAAGCUGAGUACAGAUAUGUUCACCAUCCAGAGGAAAGGCGCUCAGCAUCUCCACGCCAUCCCCCUCCCUGCCGUGGGACGGAGGCAGCCAACAUUUCCCUGGCCUGGGCCGGCUGCAGCUAAGGCUGAGACAUCUGCAUAAGGCAGAAGGGGCCAGGUCAAGGCCUUCCUGGCAAGUGCCUCCCAGGGGACAAUGCCAGUCCCAGAAAGGGCAGCCCGUAAAGCCCUCAGGCCCAGUGGCCAUGCCUCACCUGACAGCUUGGGAGAUCCAGGCACAGCGGGAGAAGUGACUUGCCGAGGUCAUGCAGGGACACGGAGCCACUGCCCGGCUUCCUGACACCCCUUCUGCCCUACCAUGCUGAU